Molecule: ribosomal RNA, 2360 nt
Filed under: Salmonella enterica subsp. enterica serovar Typhimurium
Lineage: Bacteria; Pseudomonadati; Pseudomonadota; Gammaproteobacteria; Enterobacterales; Enterobacteriaceae
Description: partial 23S ribosomal RNA
Rfam family: Bacterial large subunit ribosomal RNA
Source: RNAcentral
CCGAGUCUUAACCGGGCGUUAAGUUGCAGGGUAUAGACCCGAAACCCGGUGAUCUAGCCAUGGGCAGGUUGAAGGUUGGGUAACACUAACUGGAGGACCGAACCGACUAAUGUUGAAAAAUUAGCGGAUGACCUGUGGCUGGGGGUGAAAGGCCAAUCAAACCGGGAGAUAGCUGGUUCUCCCCGAAAGCUAUUUAGGUAGCGCCUCGUGAAUUCAUCUCCGGGGGUAGAGCACUGUUUCGGCUAGGGGGCCAUCCCGGCUUACCAACCCGAUGCAAACUGCGAAUACCGGAGAAUGUUAUCACGGGAGACACACGGCGGGUGCUAACGUCCGUCGUGAAGAGGGAAACAACCCAGACCGCCAGCUAAGGUCCCAAAGUCAUGGUUAAGUGGGAAACGAUGUGGGAAGGCCCAGACAGCCAGGAUGUUGGCUUAGAAGCAGCCAUCAUUUAAAGAAAGCGUAAUAGCUCACUGGUCGAGUCGGCCUGCGCGGAAGAUGUAACGGGGCUAAACCAUGCACCGAAGCUGCGGCAGCGAACGUAUCACCCAAGACAACUUUACGGAGUUGACGAUUGACGGAGCGAAGCGACGUCAAAGCGUUCAUUAAAGUCGAGUUGGCUUAGGGAUACGUUCGUUGGGUAGGGGAGCGUUCUGUAAGCCUGUGAAGGUGUGUCGUGAGGCAUGCUGGAGGUAUCAGAAGUGCGAAUGCUGACAUAAGUAACGAUAAAGCGGGUGAAAAGCCCGCUCGCCGGAAGACCAAGGGUUCCUGUCCAACGUUAAUCGGGGCAGGGUGAGUCGACCCCUAAGGCGAGGCCGAAAGGCGUAGUCGAUGGGAAACGGGUUAAUAUUCCCGUACUUGGUGUUACUGCGAAGGGGGGACGGAGAAGGCUAUGUUGGCCGGGCGACGGUUGUCCCGGUUUAAGCGUGUAGGUGUGUGUUCCAGGUAAAUCCGGUUCACUUUAACACUGAGGCGUGACGACGAGGCACUACGGUGCUGAAGCAACAAAUGCCCUGCUUCCAGGAAAAGCCUCUAAGCAUCAGGUAACAUCAAAUCGUACCCCAAACCGACACAGGUGGUCAGGUAGAGAAUACCAAGGCGCUUGAGAGAACUCGGGUGAAGGAACUAGGCAAAAUGGUGCCGUAACUUCGGGAGAAGGCACGCUGACACGUAGGUGAAGUGAUUUACUCAUGGAGCUGAAGUCAGUCGAAGAUACCAGCUGGCUGCAACUGUUUAUUAAAAACACAGCACUGUGCAAACACGAAAGUGGACGUAUACGGUGUGACGCCUGCCCGGUGCCGGAAGGUUAAUUGAUGGGGUCAGCGCAAGCGAAGCUCCUGAUCGAAGCCCCGGUAAACGGCGGCCGUAACUAUAACGGUCCUAAGGUAGCGAAAUUCCUUGUCGGGUAAGUUCCGACCUGCACGAAUGGCGUAAUGAUGGCCAGGCUGUCUCCACCCGAGACUCAGUGAAAUUGAACUCGCUGUGAAGAUGCAGUGUACCCGCGGCAAGACGGAAAGACCCCGUGAACCUUUACUAUAGCUUGACACUGAACAUUGAGCCUUGAUGUGUAGGAUAGGUGGGAGGCUUUGAAGUGUGGACGCCAGUCUGCAUGGAGCCGACCUUGAAAUACCACCCUUUAAUGUUUGAUGUUCUAACGUGGACCCGUAAUCCGGGUUGCGGACAGUGUCUGGUGGGUAGUUUGACUGGGGCGGUCUCCUCCUAAAGAGUAACGGAGGAGCACGAAGGUUGGCUAAUCCUGGUCGGACAUCAGGAGGUUAGUGCAAUGGCAUAAGCCAGCUUGACUGCGAGCGUGACGGCGCGAGCAGGUGCGAAAGCAGGUCAUAGUGAUCCGGUGGUUCUGAAUGGAAGGGCCAUCGCUCAACGGAUAAAAGGUACUCCGGGGAUAACAGGCUGAUACCGCCCAAGAGUUCAUAUCGACGGCGGUGUUUGGCACCUCGAUGUCGGCUCAUCACAUCCUGGGGCUGAAGUAGGUCCCAAGGGUAUGGCUGUUCGCCAUUUAAAGUGGUACGCGAGCUGGGUUUAGAACGUCGUGAGACAGUUCGGUCCCUAUCUGCCGUGGGCGCUGGAGAACUGAGGGGGGCUGCUCCUAGUACGAGAGGACCGGAGUGGACGCAUCACUGGUGUUCGGGUUGUCAUGCCAAUGGCACUGCCCGGUAGCUAAAUGCGGAAGAGAUAAGUGCUGAAAGCAUCUAAGCACGAAACUUGCCCCGAGAUGAGUUCUCCCUGAGACUUAGAGUCUCCUGAAGGAACGUUGAAGACGACGACGUUGAUAGGCCGGGUGUGUAAGCGCAGCGAUGCGUUGAGCUAACCGGUACUAAUGAACCGUGAGGCUUAACCUUACA